Ribosomal RNA from Anolis carolinensis (green anole), 119 nucleotides. Lineage: Eukaryota; Metazoa; Chordata; Lepidosauria; Squamata; Anolidae. The record is from Ensembl.
GACUAUGGUCAAACCACUCUGAAUACGCCCAAUCCCACUAGAUUUUGGAAGCUAAGCAGGUAUGGGCCCAGGAUGUUCUUGGAUGGGAGACCGCCAGGGCAUAAUGGGUGCUGUAGGCC